GGAUUGCCCUAGUAACGGCGAGUGAAGCGGCAACAGCUCAAAUUUGAAAUCUGGCGUCUUUGGCGUCCGAGUUGUAAUUUGCAGAGGGCGCUUUGGCAUCGGCAGCGGUCCAAGUUCCUUGGAACAGGACGUCACAGAGGGUGAGAAUCCCGUACGUGAUCGCUAGCCUUUACCGUGUAAAGCCCCUUCGACGAGUCGAGUUGUUUGGGAAUGCAGCUCUAAAUGGGAGGUAAAUUUCUUCUAAAGCUAAAUACUGGCCAGAGACCGAUAGCGCACAAGUAGAGUGAUCGAAAGAUGAAAAGCACUUUGGAAAGAGAGUUAAAAAGCACGUGAAAUUGUUGAAAGGGAAGCGCUUGCAGCCAGACUUGCCUGUAGUUGCUCAUCCGGGUUUCUACCCGGUGCACUCUUCUAUAGGCAGGCCAGCAUCAGUUUGGGCGGUUGGAUAAAGGUCUCUGUCAUGUACCUCUCUUCGGGGAGAACUUAUAGGGGAGACGACAUGCAACCAGCCCGGACUGAGGUCCGCGCAUCUGCUAGGAUGCUGGCGUAAUGGCUGUAAGCGGCCCGUCUUGAAACACGGACCAAGGAGUCUAACAUCUAUGCGAGUGUUUGGGUGUCAAGCCCGAACGCGUAAUGAAAGUGAACGGAGGUGGGAACCUUUCGGGGUGCACCAUCGACCGAUCCUGAUGUCUUCGGAUGGAUUUGAGUAAGAGCAUAGCUGUUGGGACCCGAAAGAUGGUGAACUAUGCUUGAAUAGGGUGAAGCCAGAGGAAACUCUGGUGGAGGCUCGCAGCGGUUCUGACGUGCAAAUCGAUCGUCAAAUUUGGGCAUAGGGGCGAAAGACUAAUCGAACUAUCUAGUAGCUGGUUCC
This 868-nucleotide ribosomal RNA is filed under the name Neodidymelliopsis farokhinejadii. Its description in RNAcentral is "partial large subunit ribosomal RNA". It matches the Rfam family "Eukaryotic large subunit ribosomal RNA", at positions 72 to 958 of the family's 3401-position model. The record is from RNAcentral. Lineage: Eukaryota; Fungi; Ascomycota; Dothideomycetes; Pleosporales; Didymellaceae.